This 253-nucleotide ribosomal RNA is filed under the name uncultured bacterium. RNAcentral's name for it is "partial 16S ribosomal RNA". It matches the Rfam family "Bacterial small subunit ribosomal RNA", at positions 524 to 776 of the family's 1533-position model. The record is from RNAcentral.
UACAGAGGUGGCAAGCGUUGUUCGGAAUUACUGGGCGUAAAGGGCGAGUAGGUGGCCAUCUAAGUCAGACGUGAAAUCCCCAGGCUUAACCUGGGAACUGCGUGUGAUACUGGAUGGCUUGAGUUCGGGAGAGGGAUGCGGAAUUCCAGGUGUAGCGGUGAAAUGCGUAGAUAUCUGGAGGAACACCGGUGGCGAAGGCGGCAUCCUGGACCGACACUGACACUGAGGAGCGAAAGCCAGGGGAGCAAACGGG